UACGGGGGGGCAAGCGUUGUUCGGAAUUACUGGGCGUAAAGGGCUCGUAGGCGGCCAACUAAGUCAGACGUGAAAUCCCCAGGCUCAACCUGGGAACUGCGUCUGAUACUGGAUGGCUUGAAUUCGGGAGAGGGAUGCAGAAUUCCGGGUGUAGCGGUGGAAUGCGUAGAGAUCCGGAAGAACACCGGUGGCGAAGGCGGCCUGCUGGGCAGUAGCUGACACUGAGGCGCGACAGCGUGGGGAGCAAACAGG
This 252-nucleotide ribosomal RNA is filed under the name uncultured bacterium. RNAcentral's name for it is "partial 16S ribosomal RNA". It matches the Rfam family "Bacterial small subunit ribosomal RNA", at positions 524 to 776 of the family's 1533-position model. The record is from RNAcentral.